CACGUAGGGUGCGAGCGUUGUCCGGAAUUAUUGGGCGUAAAGAGCUCGUAGGCGGUCUGUCGCGUCGGUCGUGAAAACUUGGGGCUUAACCCUGAGCUUGCGGUCGAUACGGGCAUGACUGGAGUUCGGCAGGGGGGACUGGAAUUCCUGGUGUAGCGGUGAAAUGCGCAGAUAUCAGGAGGAACACCGGUGGCGAAGGCGGGUCUCUGGGCCGAUACUGACGCUGAGGAGCGAAAGCGUGGGGAGCGAACAGG
RNAcentral lists this ribosomal RNA (254 nucleotides) under uncultured bacterium. RNAcentral's name for it is "partial 16S ribosomal RNA". It matches the Rfam family "Bacterial small subunit ribosomal RNA", at positions 524 to 776 of the family's 1533-position model. The record is from RNAcentral.